AGCUUUGUGCAGUGGCAGUAUCGUAGUCAAUGAGGUUUAUCCGAGGUGCGAUUAUUGCUAAUUGAAAACUAAAAUAUGUAAGUAUAUAUUUAUUUAUUUGGCCAUGUCG
This 109-nucleotide small nuclear RNA is filed under the name Moschus moschiferus (Siberian musk deer). Its description in RNAcentral is "U4 spliceosomal RNA (ENSMMSG00000001985.1)". The stretch from base 1 to 77 matches the Rfam family "U4 spliceosomal RNA". From Rfam's summary of the family: U4 small nuclear RNA (U4 snRNA) is a component of the major U2-dependent spliceosome. The structure of U4 snRNA from yeast and human has been reported. Lineage: Eukaryota; Metazoa; Chordata; Mammalia; Artiodactyla; Moschidae. The record is from RNAcentral.